This 329-nucleotide ribosomal RNA is filed under the name uncultured eukaryote. RNAcentral's name for it is "partial 18S ribosomal RNA". It matches the Rfam family "Eukaryotic small subunit ribosomal RNA", at positions 1470 to 1796 of the family's 1831-position model. The record is from RNAcentral.
CCCUUAGAUGCUCUGGGCCGCACGCGCGCUACACUGAUGCAUUCAACGAGUCUAAAACCUGCUCUGAUAGGGGUGGGUAAUCUUUUGAAUGUGCAUCGUGAUUGGGAUAGAUGAUUGCAAUUUUUCAUCUUCAACGAGGAAUGCCUAGUAAACGCAAGUCAUCAGCUUGCAUUGAUUACGUCCCUGCCCUUUGUACACACCGCCCGUCGCUCCUACCGAUUGAAUGAUCCGAUGAAUAUCAUGGAUUGAGGAUGCAAGCAGGUUCGCCUGUCUUCAUCUUCGAGAAGUGAAGUAAAUCUUAUCAUUUAGAGGAAGGAGAAGUCGCAACA